This 2900-nucleotide ribosomal RNA is filed under the name Escherichia coli DEC11C. RNAcentral's name for it is "bacterial LSU rRNA". It matches the Rfam family "Bacterial large subunit ribosomal RNA". The record is from RNAcentral. Lineage: Bacteria; Pseudomonadati; Pseudomonadota; Gammaproteobacteria; Enterobacterales; Enterobacteriaceae.
UAAGCGACUAAGCGUACACGGUGGAUGCCCUGGCAGUCAGAGGCGAUGAAGGACGUGCUAAUCUGCGAUAAGCGUCGGUAAGGUGAUAUGAACCGUUAUAACCGGCGAUUUCCGAAUGGGGAAACCCAGUGUGAUUCGUCACACUAUCAUUAACUGAAUCCAUAGGUUAAUGAGGCGAACCGGGGGAACUGAAACAUCUAAGUACCCCGAGGAAAAGAAAUCAACCGAGAUUCCCCCAGUAGCGGCGAGCGAACGGGGAGCAGCCCAGAGCCUGAAUCAGUGUGUGUGUUAGUGGAAGCGUCUGGAAAGGCGCGCGAUACAGGGUGACAGCCCCGUACACAAAAAUGCACAUACUGUGAGCUCGAUGAGUAGGGCGGGACACGAGGUAUCCUGUCUGAAUAUGGGGGGACCAUCCUCCAAGGCUAAAUACUCCUGACUGACCGAUAGUGAACCAGUACCGUGAGGGAAAGGCGAAAAGAACCCCGGCGAGGGGAGUGAAAAAGAACCUGAAACCGUGUACGUACAAGCAGUGGGAGCACGCUUAGGCGUGUGACUGCGUACCUUUUGUAUAAUGGGUCAGCGACUUAUAUUCUGUAGCAAGGUUAACCGAAUAGGGGAGCCGAAGGGAAACCGAGUCUUAACUGGGCGUUAAGUUGCAGGGUAUAGACCCGAAACCCGGUGAUCUAGCCAUGGGCAGGUUGAAGGUUGGGUAACACUAACUGGAGGACCGAACCGACUAAUGUUGAAAAAUUAGCGGAUGACUUGUGGCUGGGGGUGAAAGGCCAAUCAAACCGGGAGAUAGCUGGUUCUCCCCGAAAGCUAUUUAGGUAGCGCCUCGUGAAUUCAUCUCCGGGGGUAGAGCACUGUUUCGGCAAGGGGGUCAUCCCGACUUACCAACCCGAUGCAAACUGCGAAUACCGGAGAAUGUUAUCACGGGAGACACACGGCGGGUGCUAACGUCCGUCGUGAAGAGGGAAACAACCCAGACCGCCAGCUAAGGUCCCAAAGUCAUGGUUAAGUGGGAAACGAUGUGGGAAGGCCCAGACAGCCAGGAUGUUGGCUUAGAAGCAGCCAUCAUUUAAAGAAAGCGUAAUAGCUCACUGGUCGAGUCGGCCUGCGCGGAAGAUGUAACGGGGCUAAACCAUGCACCGAAGCUGCGGCAGCGACGCUGAUGCGUUGUUGGGUAGGGGAGCGUUCUGUAAGCCUGUGAAGGUGUGCUGUGAGGCAUGCUGGAGGUAUCAGAAGUGCGAAUGCUGACAUAAGUAACGAUAAAGCGGGUGAAAAGCCCGCUCGCCGGAAGACCAAGGGUUCCUGUCCAACGUUAAUCGGGGCAGGGUGAGUCGACCCCUAAGGCGAGGCCGAAAGGCGUAGUCGAUGGGAAACAGGUUAAUAUUCCUGUACUUGGUGUUACUGCGAAGGGGGGACGGAGAAGGCUAUGUUGGCCGGGCGACGGUUGUCCCGGUUUAAGCGUGUAGGCUGGUUUUCCAGGCAAAUCCGGAAAAUCAAGGCUGAGGCGUGAUGACGAGGCACUACGGUGCUGAAGCAACAAAUGCCCUGCUUCCAGGAAAAGCCUCUAAGCAUCAGGUAACAUCAAAUCGUACCCCAAACCGACACAGGUGGUCAGGUAGAGAAUACCAAGGCGCUUGAGAGAACUCGGGUGAAGGAACUAGGCAAAAUGGUGCCGUAACUUCGGGAGAAGGCACGCUGAUAUGUAGGUGAAGUCCCUCGCGGAUGGAGCUGAAAUCAGUCGAAGAUACCAGCUGGCUGCAACUGUUUAUUAAAAACACAGCACUGUGCAAACACGAAAGUGGACGUAUACGGUGUGACGCCUGCCCGGUGCCGGAAGGUUAAUUGAUGGGGUCAGCGCAAGCGAAGCUCUUGAUCGAAGCCCCGGUAAACGGCGGCCGUAACUAUAACGGUCCUAAGGUAGCGAAAUUCCUUGUCGGGUAAGUUCCGACCUGCACGAAUGGCGUAAUGAUGGCCAGGCUGUCUCCACCCGAGACUCAGUGAAAUUGAACUCGCUGUGAAGAUGCAGUGUACCCGCGGCAAGACGGAAAGACCCCGUGAACCUUUACUAUAGCUUGACACUGAACAUUGAGCCUUGAUGUGUAGGAUAGGUGGGAGGCUUUGAAGUGUGGACGCCAGUCUGCAUGGAGCCGGCCUUGAAAUACCACCCUUUAAUGUUUGAUGUUCUAACGUUGACCCGUGAUCCGGGUUGCGGACAGUGUCUGGUGGGUAGUUUGACUGGGGCGGUCUCCUCCUAAAGAGUAACGGAGGAGCACGAAGGUUGGCUAAUCCUGGUCGGACAUCAGGAGGUUAGUGCAAUGGCAUAAGCCAGCUUGACUGCGAGCGUGACGGCGCGAGCAGGUGCGAAAGCAGGUCAUAGUGAUCCGGUGGUUCUGAAUGGAAGGGCCAUCGCUCAACGGAUAAAAGGUACUCCGGGGAUAACAGGCUGAUACCGCCCAAGAGUUCAUAUCGACGGCGGUGUUUGGCACCUCGAUGUCGGCUCAUCACAUCCUGGGGCUGAAGUAGGUCCCAAGGGUAUGGCUGUUCGCCAUUUAAAGUGGUACGCGAGCUGGGUUUAGAACGUCGUGAGACAGUUCGGUCCCUAUCUGCCGUGGGCGCUGGAGAACUGAGGGGGGCUGCUCCUAGUACGAGAGGACCGGAGUGGACGCAUCACUGGUGUUCGGGUUGUCAUGCCAAUGGCACUGCCCGGUAGCUAAAUGCGGAAGAGAUAAGUGCUGAAAGCAUCUAAGCACGAAACUUGCCCCGAGAUGAGUUCUCCCUGACUCCUUGAGAGUCCUGAAGGAACGUUGAAGACGACGACGUUGAUAGGCCGGGUGUGUAAGCGCAGCGAUGCGUUGAGCUAACCGGUACUAAUGAACCGUGAGGCUUAACCU